UGGGGAAUCUUGGACAAUGGGCGCAAGCCUGAUCCAGCCAUGCCGCGUGAGUGAUGAAGGCCCUAGGGUUGUAAAACUCUUUCGUGGGGGACGAUAAUGACGGUACCCCAAGAAGAAGCUCCGGCUAACUUCGUGCCAGCAGCCGCGGUAAUACGAAGGGGGCUAGCGUUGUUCGGAUUUACUGGGCGUAAAGCGCGUGUAGGCGGACUGGAAAGUUGGGGGUGAAAUCCCGAGGCUCAACCUCGGAACUGCCUCCAAAACUUCCAGUCUGGACUCAAGUAGAGGCAAGUGGAAUUGCGAGUGUAGAGGUGAAAUUCGUAGAUAUUCGCAGGAACACCAGUGGCGAAGGCGACUUGCUGGACUUGUAGUGACGCUGAGACGCGAAAGCGUGGGGAGCAAACAGGAUUAGAUACCCCGGUAGUCCCUGAGCGGGCUGGCAAGGCGCAU
Molecule: ribosomal RNA, 447 nt
Filed under: uncultured bacterium
Lineage: Bacteria
Description: bacterial SSU rRNA
Rfam family: Bacterial small subunit ribosomal RNA
Source: RNAcentral